UACGAACGGUGCAAGCGUUAUUCGGAAUCAUUGGGCUUAAAGGGUUCGUAGGCGGUUGCUUAAGUCAGGUGUGAAAUCUCUCGGCUCAACCGGGAAACUGCGCUUGAUACUGGGCGGCUCGAGUGAGGUAGGGGUGUGUGGAACUUCCGGUGGAGCGGUGAAAUGUGUAGAUAUCGGAAGGAACGCCAGCAGCGAAAGCGGCACACUGGGCCUUUUCUGACGCUGAGGCACGAAAGCCAGGGGAGCGAACGGG
This 253-nucleotide ribosomal RNA is filed under the name uncultured bacterium. RNAcentral describes it as "partial 16S ribosomal RNA". It matches the Rfam family "Bacterial small subunit ribosomal RNA", at positions 524 to 776 of the family's 1533-position model. The record is from RNAcentral.